Molecule: non-coding RNA, 5176 nt
Organism: Pelobates cultripes (western spadefoot toad)
Lineage: Eukaryota; Metazoa; Chordata; Amphibia; Anura; Pelobatidae
Source: the annotation of a GenBank genome assembly
AUGCAUUCAACCAAUAUUAAGAACCCGUCUUUUUACGUUGUAGCCUUAUGUUACAAUUGUUUAAAAUAUUGUUUUCACAUCCGUCUACACUCAGCAUCCCAUAAUGAAAAAUCAAACACCAGAUUUUUGAAAGCUUGGAAAAACAUUUUUAAAAAGAAAAAAAAAAAACUGAAAUAUCACAUUGACAUAAGUAUUAAGACCCAGUACUAUGACCCUUAAAAUUUAGCUCAGAUGCAUCCCAUUUCUCUGGACCAUCUUUGGUUCUACACUUUGUUUGGAAUCUGCCUGUGGCAAAUUCACUUGGUUAGACAUGAUUUGGAAAGGCACACUACUGUCUGUACAUGGUCUCGCAGCUUUAAAGGCGUAAAACCCAAGUCAUGAAGUCAGAGCUGCAGAGACCGGAAUGUUUUCAGACACAAUUUGGAGACAGCUAAAAAUAAAUAUUAUGACUGCAUUGAAGGUUCUUUAAGUGGAUGGCCUCCAUAAUUGUUAGAAGUUUGGAACAACUAGGAUUCUUCCUAGACCUGGUGCCCAGCCAAAUAUAGGUAAUUGGGGAGAAGGGCCUUGAUAAGAGAGGUGAGCAAGAAUCAAAUAGUCACUCUGACUGAGCUUCAAAGAUGAUGUAUGGAGAUGGGAGAAACUUGCAGAAGGACAACCAUCAUUGCAACAGUACUGAUCUGGACAGUUUUAAGCUUCUCCGUGAAAGCCUGCUUGGAAUUUGCACACAAAAAAACAACCCUAAAGGGCUCUGACUGUGAGAAACAAGACUUUCUGGUCUGAUGAAAAGAAGAUUGAACUGUUUGGGCAACCAGGCCCCACUCAUGGUAUGGUGGUAGCAUCUGGUUUUUUAAGUCUUUUUCAAAAGCAGGUCAAAGACUGGCCAUGAGAAAUGAUCAGGGUUGAGGGAAAGCUGAAUGCAGCAAAAUACAGAGCAAAUCCAGACGCUUGCUUAAAGGGACACUAAAGGUAUCAAAACAACUUUAGCUUAAUGAAGCAGUUUGGGUGUAUAGAUCAUGCCCUUGAAGUUUCACUGAUCAUUUAUCUGCCAUUUGGGAGUUGACUCACAAAGCCUGCACAAUAAUAAAAAAAAAAUGGCUUCAUUUUUAAUCAAAUGUUCACCUUCUUCGAGAAGUUUGUAUUUCUUGCUCUGUAAUCACAAGCAAGAGGCUUCUGCAGGGUCCAGAUGGCUAUUAACAGAGUAGUAGAUACAUUAUAAAUUAAACAGAAUGUGCAAUAAAAGAAGUUUAAACUUUAGAUCUCUCUUUACAGGAAGUGUUUAUGAAAGUUGUGCAAGUCACAUAAAAGAAGGUGUGACUUGGGCUGUAAGAACAAAGUGAUUCAACUCUUGAGUGGCUGCAGGUUCAUGACCUAUACUCCAGAACUGCUUCAUAUAGCUAAUGUUUUGGUGCCCAUAGUUUACCUUUAAGUGCUUUAUGAGUGGAGUGUGACCUCAUUUCAUUUUAUAAAAAGUGCAGAUUUCAAAAUUAACUACGUUACACCCUCCUGGUGAUCAAUCAGUCAGCUUGUAAGACUAGUGGAACUAAACUCAAGGCAGGCAAUUGCUCAGACACCUUGAAAAGACUGAGCUUUGGGAAGUCUGCAAUUGGACAGCCUCAGAAAGGCUAGGUUAGAAGAGGAGGACUUGCAAAAGCUUUAGAUACAAGAUCUGCAGGUUUUGCAUGAUGUUUUUAGAUAUAGCCUCAUUGAAAAAAAACAAAUAUGCAGUUGAAUGCAAGCAUGUUUUCAUUAAGGGUAUACAAAACUGUUAGUUUUUUUUAUAUUUAGCCAAUGAAUUGUCCUUUUUCAUGAAAACUUAGUCCAAAAUGUUCAGGAUCUUAGACUGGGUUGAAGGUUCAUCUUCCAACAGGACACUGAUCCAAAGCAGACAGUCAAAACAAUACAAGACUGGCUUAGGUAUAACUUUGUGAAUGUCAUGGAGUGUCCCUGUCAGAGCCUACACUUGAACCUAAUAAAACAUCUCUGGAAAAACCUGAAAAUGUAUGUCCAUUGAUUGGCCCCAUCCUAUCUGACCAAGAUAAGAGAAUCGGCAGAGAUGAAUGGCAGAAACUACCAAAUUCAAGUGUGCAAAGCUUUUCACUUCAUACACAAAAAGACUGACUAUAAUCGCUGACAAAGGUGCUUCAUUUAAGUGAUACUUUUAUUCUGUUUAAUAUAUUUGUAACGGUGUCCCAAAUCUAUUUUGUUUCAUCAUUAUUAGGUAUUAAGUGCAGAUUUCUGCACAGAACUAGAGAGUAUUAAUGAUACCGGUUUACAGAAAGCUAUUGCCAAGGGUUCAAUUAGGACGUCUUUAACUGGGCACCAGUUUUAGGCUGUAUCAACUUAACCUUAAUUAUCAUUGGAGCGCAGUCCACAGCUUCCUCCUUUCUCCCUAAAACCAGUCCGGGGCUUCCUCCUUUCUCACAUAAUUUUCUGAAUGGGAAGCUAGCAAUAGGCUAUAACUAUUCCAAAUCUAUAAUGGGAAGCUAGCUAUAGGCUAUAACUCUGCCGGAAACGAGGAGCAAUGUGAAAGGUGCAGUCUUCACAACUUCCUGGGUAAACCAUUUGUAAACUGCUUAACCACUUUAGAUAAUAGGGCAGCCAGACACCAUAACUUUAAUACAUAAUCCCCUCUGAAUUUCCCAUGUUUUCUGAAAAUUGCAGGUGUACAAUUUAAGUUAGAUAGCACCAUUUACACUGCAGCAAUAUAUGGAAUUACAUGUUUCAUUAUUCACUUAAUUUUAAAUGUAGGAAAAUAAACAGUUCAUUUAACAAUGCAGGAAUUGUGCAGAAAAGACAAGAGAAUAGCAUUUGUCUUAUAUAAUUGCUGGCUGAGGGACAGAAAUGUCUUUAAAUGGUCACUCCCAGUAUUAUAAGCAUUUUAUAACAGUUUGACUUGUUACUCUGUAUCUUCUCCACACCUCUUCUACUUCUGAUAGAAAAUCAGAACCCUGCUGAGGAGUUUUUGUUAAGUUCCCCUGAGCUAACCCCUGCUGGGUAGGAGUAAAUAUUUGGAGAAUCUCCUGGACCCCCAUAAAAAGCUGUAUAAUAAAUAGUUAACUUCACAACAUAUAGAAAAUGCAUAUAAUAGCUUUUUUUUGGACAAAGUUAAAACUUAUCCUUUACUUUAUUAUUUAAAGGACCACUCUAGGCACCCAGACUACUUCAGCUUAAUGAAGUCCACAGAGAAACUGCUAUGUUUAUAAAUAGAUUAAUCCAGCCUCUAGUGGCUGUCACAUUGACAGCCGCUAGAGGCGUUUGCGUGCUUCUCACUGUGAAAAUCACAGUGAGAAGAUGCCAGCGUCCAUAGGAAAGCAUUAUGAAUGCUUUCCUAUGAGACUGGCUGAAUGCGCGUGCAGCUCCUGUCGCGCAUGCGCAUUCAGCCGUAGAGGAGGAUCGGAGACGGAGAGGAGAGAUCCCCGCCCGGCGCUGGAAAAAAGGAAAGUUUAACCCCUUUCCUUGCCAUCCAGCCCGGCGGGCACUAUAGUGGUCUUUUAAUUAACACAUUGGAAAUAAAGGCUGGACUAAAGUGCAAGUGAAUGUAAACUUAUAAUGUGCGAAAUCCCCUAAUGAAACACUAUUGGUUUGCAGAGAAUGCACAUUUAUAUAUAUAUUAGGGAACUAGAUAUAAUGGGACUGCUUAAUAUUUUAGCCUGAAGUUAACAUUCUAGUGAGCCGAUAUCAAAUAUAUCUAUGCAAAGGACCAAUAAAUAUAAAACCAUAAUAUAAAAGUAACCCUUCGCUAAUCACAUGAUCAGUCACUGAAGAAACAGUUUGUUGUACUGAUGAGGCACCAAGCCUAUCACCCCCCACCCCCCAUCCCCUCCUGAGCAAAAGUUUCCUCUUUUUCUGGAUAUAGGAUAUGAAACCAACAGGCCUGUUUUUGCGAUGUUGUACGUUAAGGACCAGAGCAGUUUUGAAACUUUUGUGGUGUUUGUGUUUAGCUGUAAUUUUCCUCUCUCUAUUUACGGUUCCCAUACAAGUUAUAUAUUGUUUUUUUUCAGGACAGGAAGGGCGUUCUUUACAUAUCAUUAUUUGUAUCAUGUCAUAUAUUUUAUUUUAAAAAAAAUAAUAAAAUAUGGUGAAAAAUUGAAAAAAAAACAAACACACACGUUUUUGGACUUUUACUUAUCUACAAAAGCUAAUGAAAAAAAACUGCUAAAUAGAUUCAAAAUUUUGUCCCGAGUUUAAAAACACUCAGUGUUCACAUGCUUUAUUGCUUUCUUUUUGCAAGUUAUAGGCCUAUAAAUACAAGUAGGAAAUUGCUGCUUCAAUAUAUAUAUAUUUUAAAUUUAUCAAUUGUGACAUUGUAACAUAGUUAUCUGUCAUAAAUCCCCCAAUCACACCUCACAUGUACAUAUUUUUUUAAAAUUAGACAACCCAGGGUAUUCAAAAUGGGAUAUGUCCAGUAUUUUUUAGUAGCCACCUACUCACAAACACUGGCCAAAGUUAGCAUUUAUACUUGUUUGUUAAAAAUGCAAAAAAACGCUAACUUUGGCCAGUGUUUGUGACUAAGUGGCUACUAAACAAGGCUGAACAUACCCCACUUGCAAUACCUUGGGUUGUCUUCUUUUGCAAAUGGUAUGCCAUCAUGGAGCUAAUUCUCAUUCCUGGGCUACCAUACGCUCUCAAAGGCAACCUAACCAAUCUGACAAAUUUCAAUAAAAAAAAAAUCAAGCCUUAUAUUUGACCCUGUAAUUUUCACAAACACUAUAAAACCUCUACAUGUGGGGUACUGUUAUACUCAGGAGACUUUGCUGAACACAAAUAUUAGUGUAUCAGAACAGUAAAAUGUAUCACAGCAAUAAUAUCAGUGAAAGUGCCGUUUGUGUGUGAAAAAUGCAAAAAAAGUCACUUUCACUGACAAUAUCAUCGCUGUAAUUUUUUUACUGUUUUGAAACACUAAUAUUUGUGUUCAGCGAAGUCUCCCGAAUAAAACAGUUCCCCCCAUGUACAGGUUUUAGGGUGUCAUAGAAAGUUACAGGGUUAAACACAGUGCUAGCCAAUUAAAUUCUCUGGACUUUCGGCCUGGGUUGGCAGGCAGGUCCCUCAAAUUGCAAUCAUUAAAAUUACUUAAUUAGGUAAAAAUAUUACAUAAAUACACACGUAGAAUUUUAAUAUAUAUAUAUAUAUAUAUACAUAUUUAUAUAUUUGACAUCUACGUGUAUAUUUAUGUAAU